Molecule: ribosomal RNA, 468 nt
Filed under: uncultured bacterium
Lineage: Bacteria
Description: partial 16S ribosomal RNA
Rfam family: Bacterial small subunit ribosomal RNA
Source: RNAcentral
GACGAACGCUGGCGGCGUGCUUAACACAUGCAAGUCGAACGGAAAGGCCCUGCCUUUGUGGGGUGCUCGAGUGGCGAACGGGUGAGUAACACGUGAGUAACCUGCCCUUGACUUUGGGAUAACUUCAGGAAACUGUGGCUAAUACCGGAUAGUAGCUCCUGCUGCAUGGUGUGGGUUGGAAAGUUUCGGUGGCUGGGGUUGGACUCGCGGCUUCUCAGCUUUAUGGUGGGGUAGUGGAUUACCAAGGCGUUGACGGUGAGCCGGACUGAGAGGGUGACAGGGCACAGUGGGACUGAGAUAGGGCCCAGACUGAUACGGGAGGCAGCGGUGGGGAAUAGUGCACGAUGGGCGGAAGCCUGAUGCAGCAACGCCGCGUGCGGGAUGACUGCCUUCGGGUUGUAAACCGCUUUCGCCUGUGACGAAGAGUGAGUGACGGUAAUGGGUAAAGAAGCACCGGCUAACUACGUG